UACGGGGGGAGCAAGCGUUGUUCGGAUUUACUGGGCGUAAAGGGCGCGUAGGCGGCGCAACAAGUCACUUGUGAAAUCUCCGGGCUUAACUCGGAACGGUCAAGUGAUACUGUUGUGCUAGAGUGCGGAAGGGGCAACUGGAAUUCUCGGUGUAGCGGUGAAAUGCGUAGAUAUCGAGAGGAACACCUGCGGCGAAGGCGGGUUGCUGGGCCGACACUGACGCUGAGACGCGAAAGCGUGGGGAGCGAACAGG
This 253-nucleotide ribosomal RNA is filed under the name uncultured bacterium. RNAcentral describes it as "partial 16S ribosomal RNA". It matches the Rfam family "Bacterial small subunit ribosomal RNA", at positions 524 to 776 of the family's 1533-position model. The record is from RNAcentral.